AUUGAACGCUGGCGGCGGGCCUAACACAUGCAAGUCGAGCGGCAGCGGAAAGUAGCUUGCUACUUUGCCGGCGAGCGGCGGACGGGUGAGUAAUGUCUGGGAAACUGCCUGAUGGAGGGGGAUAACUACUGGAAACGGUAGCUAAUACCGCAUGGCCUCGAAAGAGCAAAGUGGGGGAUCUUCGGACCUCACGCCAUCGGAUGUGCCCAGAUGGGAUUAGCUAGUAGGUGAGGUAAUGGCUCACCUAGGCGACGAUCCCUAGCUGGUCUGAGAGGAUGACCAGCCACACUGGAACUGAGACACGGUCCAGACUCCUACGGGAGGCAGCAGUGGGGAAUAUUGCACAAUGGGCGCAAGCCUGAUGCAGCCAUGCCGCGUGUGUGAAGAAGGCCUUAGGGUUGUAAAGCACUUUCAGCGAGGAGGAAGGCAUCAUACUUAAUACGUGUGGUGAUUGACGUUACUCGCAGAAGAAGCACCGGCUAACUCCGUGCCAGCAGCCGCGGUAAUACGGAGGGUGCAAGCGUUAAUCGGAAUUACUGGGCGUAAAGCGCACGCAGGCGGUUUGUUAAGUCAGAUGUGAAAUCCCCGCGCUUAACGUGGGAACUGCAUUUGAAACUGGCAAGCUAGAGUCUUGUAGAGGGGGGUAGAAUUCCAGGUGUAGCGGUGAAAUGCGUAGAGAUCUGGAGGAAUACCGGUGGCGAAGGCGGCCCCCUGGACAAAGACUGACGCUCAGGUGCGAAAGCGUGGGGAGCAAACAGG
RNAcentral lists this ribosomal RNA (759 nucleotides) under uncultured Enterobacteriaceae bacterium. RNAcentral's name for it is "bacterial SSU rRNA". It matches the Rfam family "Bacterial small subunit ribosomal RNA", at positions 28 to 776 of the family's 1533-position model. The record is from RNAcentral. Lineage: Bacteria; Pseudomonadati; Pseudomonadota; Gammaproteobacteria; Enterobacterales; Enterobacteriaceae.